CAGAGUGAGACUCUGUCUCACUCUGUUGCACAGUUUACAACAACAAAACUAUAGCAUCCAUCACAUAGAGGAGAGACUCCCCAACACACAUAUAAGGAUUACUCUCAGCCCCAGCUCCCUCAAACUUCCUAAGAUCAGCACUGGUAUCUGAUGGUGGCUCCUUGUAAAUCAAACUUAAUGGAGUAUGUGUUAUUUGGUUUAUGUUUAUGUGCAGCCUGCAUAACAACCACUCUGUCAACAUCAUGCAUAUGUUCAUUGUGUUGGUACUAGAAGACUCUAUGACACACACAAGCUGAUGUCAUCUGAUGGGUCUAUUUUAUCUACUUGGCUGUGCAAAUCCUCUUCUGUAGUAUAUGCUUUCUGGUGGACACUAAUAUGGAACACAAAGAUCUUCUCACAUUGCAGCUGCUCCCAUAUAUCCAUUGAUAUAUGCCUCUAACUCCAGACCUUUUUGUCCUUAAUCUUCUAAUCCGGUUAUCUCUUUUCCUUUAGUGCAAUUUUUCCUUAUUUGUUUGUUUUGUUUUUUUUUUUAAGUAAAUAGCUAGGCUUCUAAGCCCUACCACAGAGAGUCAACAGACAAACUGCCCAGGGAAAAGUUAUGACCUCAGGCAAAGUGAAUUUCUACAGCUAAGGCAGAUCCUGAAGAAGCUCACAAAUAAAGGCUGCAUACUCACACAUUCCCUGAAGCUUGACAGUGCCAGCCACCAUACUGUGAGGGAGCUGAAGUAAGCCCACAUGAGGAAGAAUUGAGGUCCCAAGCCAACAGCUGCAGCUAAGAUCCAAGCUCUCAACCAGUACCAGUUCAUCCGUUAUGCACACUAAGAUAUGGAAGCUAAAAGAGGACUAAGAGGAUUCUGGGGAUAUUACAAGAUAUUGCAGACUAUCUUGUUUUCCUGGAAAAGGAUUUUACCUCAGUCGACUGAAUUACUUUUUUCACUGUGUCUUGCCACUCUUCGUGCAUGCAUCAAAGACCCUAAUAUGACUUCUGGUGGCCUGGGACUCCUUGGGAAAACAGAAAAGGGGCCACAAAUCCCAUUUUGGGAACAAUCUGUUUUACUCAUGGAACCCCUGGAAUUAGAGCAAAAACUGAUCUAUGGCAGUUUUGCAGAAGAGAAUGGAAAGAAGUUUGGAGCUGCUCAAGGGCUACAAAUGCCAUGCUAGGAAGUUCACUUCAUCCUUUGGGAAGAUAAUGGAGAUGCAACAGAAC
This 1207-nucleotide long non-coding RNA is filed under the name Homo sapiens (human). RNAcentral describes it as "HSALNT0328570". Lineage: Eukaryota; Metazoa; Chordata; Mammalia; Primates; Hominidae. The record is from RNAcentral.